RNAcentral lists this ribosomal RNA (479 nucleotides) under uncultured bacterium. Its description in RNAcentral is "partial 16S ribosomal RNA". It matches the Rfam family "Bacterial small subunit ribosomal RNA", at positions 28 to 507 of the family's 1533-position model. The record is from RNAcentral.
GAUGAACGCUGGCGGCGUGCUUAACACAUGCAAGUCGAGCGAGAAGUUUUGAAAAGAUUCUUCGGAUGAAAUUUAAAAUGGAAAGCGGCGGACGGGUGAGUAACGCGUAGGCAACCUGCCCCAUACAAAGGGAUAGCAUUUGGAAACGAAUAUUAAUACCUUAUGAAACUUAACUAGUGCAUGCUAGGUAGGUCAAAGAUUUAUCGGUAUGGGAUGGGCCUGCGUCUGAUUAGCUAGUUGGUGAGGUAACGGCUCACCAAGGCGACGAUCAGUAGCCGACCGGAGAGGAUGAGCAGCCACAUUGGAACUGAGACACGGUCCAAACUCCUACGGGAGGCAGCAGUGAGGAAUAUUGCACAAUGGGGGAAACCCUGAUGCAGCAACGCCGCGUGAACGAUGAAGGCCUUUGGGUCGUAAAGUUCUGUUCUAGGUGAUGAAAACUGACAGUAACCUAGGAGAAAGCCCCGGCUAACUCCGUG